GCGUGCGGCGUGCUUACCAUGCAAGUCGAACGGUGAGGGUCAAGCUUGCUUGGCCUGAUCAGUGGCGAACGGGUGAGUAACACGUGAGUAACCUGCCCCAGACUCUGGGAUAACCCCGGGAAACCGGAGCUAAUACCGGAUAUGACCCUCGUACGCAUGUGCAGGGGGUAGAAAGUUUUUCGGUCUGGGAUGGACUCGCGGCCUAUCGGCUUGUUGGUGAGGUAGUGGCUCACCAAGGCGACGACGGGUAGCCGGCCUGAGAGGGCGACCGGCCACACUGGGACUGAGACACGGCCCAGACUCCUACGGGAGGCAGCAGUGGGGAAUAUUGCACAAUGGGCGGAAGCCUGAUGCAGCGACGCCGCGUGAGGGAUGACGGCCUUCGGGUUGUAAACCUCUUUCAGCAGGGAAGAAGCGCAAGUGACGGUACCUGCAGAAGAAGCACCGGCUAACUACGUGCCAGCAGCCGCGGUAAUACGUAGGGUGCGAGCGUUGUCCGGAAUUAUUGGGCGUAAAGAGCUUGUAGGCGGUUUGUCGCGUCUGCUGUGAAAAUCCGGGGCUCAACCCCGGACUUGCAGUGGGUACGGGCAGACUAGAGUGUGGUAGGGGAGACUGGAAUUCCUGGUGUAGCGGUGGAAUGCGCAGAUAUCAGGAGGAACACCGAUGGCGAAGGCAGGUCUCUGGGCCACUACUGACGCUGAGAAGCGAAAGCAUGGGGAGCGAACAGGAUUAGAUACCCUGGUAGUCCAUGCCGUAAACGUUGGGAACUAGGUGUGGGUCUCAUUCCACGAGAUCCG
RNAcentral lists this ribosomal RNA (797 nucleotides) under uncultured bacterium. RNAcentral's name for it is "bacterial SSU rRNA". It matches the Rfam family "Bacterial small subunit ribosomal RNA", at positions 35 to 843 of the family's 1533-position model. The record is from RNAcentral.